GAUUCCAGGACCCGUCCCAGUUGCCCUUGAGACCUAUGCCGUAGACAGGGUGGAGUGAGAGGUGAAGGAUCGAGAAGCACAGACCCGGGAAAGCUUCCCUGGAAGGUGGGCGAGAAUUGCUGGUACCUGUUUUAGAGUUAGCGUCGCCGGAGAAUAAUAGAGAAAACCAUGUGGAGGAGUGAGAAGUCAACAGAAACCAUAAGAGCAGACACAGAAAAGGAGAGGACAUCGCCAUGUGACCUGAGGGAGAGAGGCAAGCAAAGGAACCCCAUGGAAUGCGGCAGCCAGCACCAGAAUGUUACAGACUUUGGGGAGAAAACAUAGCCGUGCUGAUGUCUCGAUCAUGGACUUCUCCUGUCCUCAAAACUGAAUUGUGAUUUCAGAAACAUCUUUGAAAAGAUCUAGGUAAGCAAUACAUGUGGCAAGCACACCCUGAAGGUUUUUGGAAAGGCUCAGCCAAUUUUCCCAUCAGAUAUUAAUGAAGAAAAGAAACUUGCAUUCAUAUCAAACAUCACAGAAACUUUUAUGACAGAAGUAACAACACAAGAACAGUGUAAGGAGCACUGCACCAAGUGCCUUUGUGGCAGAGAUGACAACCAGAACCAGUUCAACCGAAUUAGCAACAUGCCAUCUUCCAACUGGAGACUUACUUCAGCUUUGCUGCCUGGGUAGGCUCUAAUAUGAGGCGAAGCUGUUCACACAACUGUUGUGAAAGAGGUGCAGUUAAGACCAGAUAACUCUGCCACAUCUCAGCUGCAGCCUUCUCCUGUGUCAACAGCAAUAAAAAAUGUAAGUCAGAGCCAACCAAAGUCAUUACAGCCAAAUGAAGGCUUGAGGUGAAGUAGGAGAAAAAACUUGCAUGCAUUUACUAAACAUAAGCACUUUAUAAAGCUUCCCUUCAGCCUCUCUCAGCAAGAUGCUCUCUAAUUAAACAGAUUAAAAAUGUCCUUCCUUCCAUCAAAAUCACAUUCCACAGUUCCAAAUGAUAAAGAAUAAAAAGGCAGUAAAAUAUUGGUACUCAUGACCAAACUGAUACCUUCUUCACAUCACCUACAAAGAGUCAAAAGUUUCCAAAAGCAAAACUGACAAGUCAAUUUUAUGAGGAGCAUACUCAACAGUGUGCUUAUUUUCUGGUCUGGAAACCCCAUGAUUUUUCUGCUUCUGUGGCAGAGCACUUAUGCUGAUCUGAAGCUGUUAUGUACCCCAGGAAAAGGCCUUGUUCUUUUAAUCCAUUCUGUGGGUGCAGACCUGUUGUCGGUAGGACCUUUGAUUAGGUUAUUCAAUUUGAGAUGU
Molecule: long non-coding RNA, 1293 nt
Organism: Choloepus didactylus (southern two-toed sloth)
Lineage: Eukaryota; Metazoa; Chordata; Mammalia; Pilosa; Megalonychidae
Exons: 3
Source: RefSeq, a predicted model, not a curated record